UACGUAGGUGGCAAGCGUUGUCCGGAUUUACUGGGCGUAAAGAGCGCGCAGGCGGUCGUUCAAGUCGCGUGUGAAAGCCCCCCGGCUCAACUGGGGAGGGUCACGCGAUACUGAUCGACUCGAAGGCAGGAGAGGGAAGUGGAAUUCCCGGUGUAGUGGUGAAAUGCGUAGAUAUCGGGAGGAACACCAGUGGCGAAGGCGACUUCCUGGCCUGUUCUUGACGCUGAGGCGCGAAAGCUAGGGGGAGCAAACGGG
This 255-nucleotide ribosomal RNA is filed under the name uncultured bacterium. RNAcentral's name for it is "partial 16S ribosomal RNA". It matches the Rfam family "Bacterial small subunit ribosomal RNA", at positions 524 to 776 of the family's 1533-position model. The record is from RNAcentral.